RNAcentral lists this microRNA precursor (98 nucleotides) under Schmidtea mediterranea. RNAcentral describes it as "microRNA sme-mir-8b precursor". Its record names the gene sme-mir-8b. Lineage: Eukaryota; Metazoa; Platyhelminthes; Tricladida; Dugesiidae. The record is from miRBase by way of RNAcentral.
UGCAUUCAUUCUAAUAAUUUGCUUCUUACUUGAUGGUAAGAGACAGAUUUUUGUUUAAUACUGUCAGGUAAGAAUACUGACUAUUAGAAUUAUCUUCG